CGCGGCCUAUCAGCUUGUUGGUGAGGUAACGGCUCACCAAGGCGACGACGGGUAGCCGGCCUGAGAGGGCGACCGGCCACACUGGGACUGAGACACGGCCCAGACUCCUACGGGAGGCAGCAGUGGGGAAUAUUGCACAAUGGGCGAAAGCCUGAUGCAGCGACGCCGCGUGAGGGAUGACGGCCUUCGGGUUGUAAACCUCUUUCAGCAGGGAAGAAGCGAGAGUGACGGUACCUGCAGAAGAAGCGCCGGCUAACUACGUGCCAGCAGCCGCGGUAAUACGUAGGGCGCAAGCGUUGUCCGGAAUUAUUGGGCGUAAAGAGCUCGUAGGCGGCUUGCCACGUCGGUUGUGAAAGCCCGGGGCUUAACCCCGGGUCUGCAGUCGAUACGGGCAGGCUAGAGUUCGGUAGGGGAGAUCGGAAUUCCUGGUGUAGCGGUGAAAUGCGCAGAAAUCAGGAGGAACACCGGUGGCGAAGGCGGAUCUCUGGGCCGAUACUGACGCUGAGGAGCGAAAGCGUGGGGAGCGAACAGGAUUAGAUACCCUGGUAGUCCACGCCGUAAACGGUGGGCACUAGGUGUGGGCAACAUUCCACGUUGUCCGUGCCGCAGCUAACGCAUUAAGUGCCCCGCCUGGGGAGUACGG
Molecule: ribosomal RNA, 643 nt
Filed under: uncultured Actinomycetes bacterium
Lineage: Bacteria; Bacillati; Actinomycetota; Actinomycetes
Description: bacterial SSU rRNA
Rfam family: Bacterial small subunit ribosomal RNA
Source: RNAcentral